CACCACAACAGGUGGAGCCUGCGGUUUAAUCGGACUCAACGCCGGGAAACUCACCAGAUAAGACAGCUGAAUGAUAGUCGGGCUGAAGACUCUACUUGACUAGCUGAGAGGAGGUGCAUGGCCGUCGUCAGUUCGUACUGUGAAGCAUCCUGUUAAGUCAGGCAACGAGCGAGACCCACGCCAACAGUUGCCAGCUCGUCCUCCGGGAUGGUGGGGACACUGUUGGGACCGCCUCUGCUAAAGAGGAGGAAGGAAUGGGCAACGGUAGGUCAGCAUGCCCCGAAUUAUCUGGGCUACACGCGGGCUACAAUGGGUGGGACAAUGGGUAUCGACACCGAAAGGUGAAGGCAAUCUCCUAAACCCAUCCGUAGUUCGGAUUGUGGGCUGCAACUCGCCUGCAUGAAGUCGGAAUCGCUAGUAAUCGCAGGUCAGCAUACUGCGGUGAAUACGUUCCCGGGCCUU
RNAcentral lists this ribosomal RNA (462 nucleotides) under uncultured Methanomicrobiales archaeon. RNAcentral's name for it is "bacterial SSU rRNA". It matches the Rfam family "Archaeal small subunit ribosomal RNA", at positions 877 to 1338 of the family's 1478-position model. Lineage: Archaea; Methanobacteriati; Methanobacteriota; Methanomicrobia; Methanomicrobiales. The record is from RNAcentral.